GGGAGGCAGCAGUGGGGAAUAUUGGACAAUGGGCGAAAGCCUGAUCCAGCCAUGCCGCGUGUGUGAAGAAGGCCUUUUGGUUGUAAAGCACUUUAAGCGAGGAGGAGGCUACUGAGAUUAAUACUCUAGGAUAGUGGACGUUACUCGCAGAAUAAGCACCGGCUAACUCUGUGCCAGCAGCCGCGGUAAUACAGAGGGUGCGAGCGUUAAUCGGAUUUACUGGGCGUAAAGCGUGCGUAGGCGGCUUUUUAAGUCGGAUGUGAAAUCCCUGAGCUUAACUUAGGAAUUGCAUUCGAUACUGGGAAGCUAGAGUAUGGGAGAGGAUGGUAGAAUUCCAGGUGUAGCGGUGAAAUGCGUAGAGAUCUGGAGGAAUACCGAUGGCGAAGGCAGCCAUCUGGCCUAAUACUGACGCUGAGGUACGAAAGCAUGGGGAGCAAACAGGAUUAGAUACCCUGGUAGUCCAUGCCGUAAACGAUGUCUACUAGCCGUUGGGGCCUUUGAGGCUUUAGUGGCGCACCUAACGCGAUAAGUAGACCGCCUG
RNAcentral lists this ribosomal RNA (541 nucleotides) under uncultured bacterium. Its description in RNAcentral is "bacterial SSU rRNA". It matches the Rfam family "Bacterial small subunit ribosomal RNA", at positions 343 to 875 of the family's 1533-position model. The record is from RNAcentral.